Long non-coding RNA from Bufo bufo (common toad), 257 nucleotides. RefSeq lists it as uncharacterized. The record is from RefSeq and is a predicted model, not a curated record. NCBI's taxonomy places the organism in Eukaryota, Metazoa, Chordata, Amphibia, Anura, Bufonidae. The transcript is spliced from 3 exons.
GGUACAGGUACCAUCAUUAUUGGCACCUGGAUAUCCAAGACCUGUGACCCCAGAAAGAUAAUCCAAAUUAUGGCUAUUUAGAAAAAUGUAGUAACUAUAUCUAUAGAUCAGGGGUCCUCAAAGAAGAAGAAAGAAGACAAGCCGGGCUGCAUGAACAAGUGGAUGAGGAGCAGGCUUGAUAAAGGCAUUGUGUGGGAAUAAAAGACGUUUCUUAAGAAGUUCUGACUUCAUCCGGACACUGAUUUGAAGUAUCAGGC